Molecule: ribosomal RNA, 468 nt
Filed under: uncultured bacterium
Lineage: Bacteria
Description: partial 16S ribosomal RNA
Rfam family: Bacterial small subunit ribosomal RNA
Source: RNAcentral
GACGAACGCUGGCGGAGUGCUUAACACAUGCAAGUCGAACGGAAAGGCCCUGCUUUUGUGGGGUGCUCGAGUGGCGAACGGGGGAGUAACACGAGAGUAACCUGCAACUGACGUUGAGAUAACCUCAGGAAAGUGAGGCUAAUACCGGAUCAGAGUACCAGUAGCAUAGCGAGGGUCGGAAAGAUACGGCGGUUGGGGAUGGACUCGAGGCUUAUCAGUAUGCUGGUGGGGUAGUGGCUUAGCAAGGCUGUGACGGGUAGCCGGGCUGAGAGGGGGACCGGCCACAUUGGGACUUAAGUACGGCCCAGACUCCUACGGGGGGCAGCAGGUGGGAAUAUUGCACAAAGGGCGGAAGCGUGAUGCAGCAACGCCGCGUGCGGGAUGACGGCCUUCGGGGUGUAAACCGCUUUCGCCUGUGACGAAGCGAGAGUGACGGUAAUGGGUAAAGAAGCAACGGCUAACUACGUG